This 449-nucleotide ribosomal RNA is filed under the name Acinetobacter nosocomialis. RNAcentral describes it as "bacterial SSU rRNA". It matches the Rfam family "Bacterial small subunit ribosomal RNA", at positions 57 to 500 of the family's 1533-position model. The record is from RNAcentral. Lineage: Bacteria; Pseudomonadati; Pseudomonadota; Gammaproteobacteria; Moraxellales; Moraxellaceae.
GCAAGUCGAGCGGGGGAAGGUAGCUUGCUACUGGACCUAGCGGCGGACGGGUGAGUAAUGCUUAGGAAUCUGCCUAUUAGUGGGGGACAACAUCUCGAAAGGGAUGCUAAUACCGCAUACGUCCUACGGGAGAAAGCAGGGGAUCUUCGGACCUUGCGCUAAUAGAUGAGCCUAAGUCGGAUUAGCUAGUUGGUGGGGUAAAGGCCUACCAAGGCGACGAUCUGUAGCGGGUCUGAGAGGAUGAUCCGCCACACUGGGACUGAGACACGGCCCAGACUCCUACGGGAGGCAGCAGUGGGGAAUAUUGGACAAUGGGCGCAAGCCUGAUCCAGCCAUGCCGCGUGUGUGAAGAAGGCCUUAUGGUUGUAAAGCACUUUAAGCGAGGAGGAGGCUGCUUUUGAUAAUACCUAGAGAUAGUGGACGUUACUCGCAGAAUAAGCACCGGCUAA